CCUACGGGAGGCAGCAGUGAGGAAUAUUGGUCAAUGGGCGGGAGCCUGAACCAGCCAAGCCGCGUGAAGGAAGAAGGUACUUCGUAUUGUAAACUUCUUUUGUCGGGGAACAAAGGCGGGGACUAGUCCCCGGAUGAGGGUACCCGAAGAAAAAGCAUCGGCUAACUCCGUACCAGCAGCCGCGGUAAUACGGAGGAUGCGAGCGUUAUCCGGAUUUAUUGGGUUUAAAGGGUGCGCAGGCGGUCGUUCAAGUCAGCGGUAAAAUGCCGGGGCUCAACCCCGGCGGGCCGUUGAAACUGGUUGUCUAGAGUUGGAGAGAAGUAUGCGGAAUUCGCGGUGUAGCGGGGAAAUGCAUAGAUAUCGCGAAGAACCCCGAUUGCGAAGGCAGCAUACCGGCUCCACACUGACGCUGAGGCACGAAAGCGUGGGUAUCGAACAGGAUUAGAUACCCUAGUAGUC
This 459-nucleotide ribosomal RNA is filed under the name uncultured bacterium. RNAcentral describes it as "partial 16S ribosomal RNA". It matches the Rfam family "Bacterial small subunit ribosomal RNA", at positions 338 to 795 of the family's 1533-position model. The record is from RNAcentral.